UUAGUGAAGGGAUCAGUUAGAUACUCUUUUCAUUAAUCUUUUUUAACUCAACAUCACCUCGAUCUAUGAUUUCAUGGACAAGAUGAUAGCAUCGCAAAAUGUGUUUUGGUUCUGUGGUGUGACUUGGGCUCUUUUGCUUGUGCUAUAGCUCCAGUACUAUUACAAUAUAGUGAAACUGGAUCAUUAAUAGAGGAAACCACUUCAAGUUUUAAUGGAGGAAACUACUUCAAGUUCUGUGAUGAAUUUCUUCAACC
This 254-nucleotide long non-coding RNA is filed under the name Elaeis guineensis (African oil palm). RNAcentral describes it as "long non-coding RNA (EGUI_LNC016929)". The record is from RNAcentral. Lineage: Eukaryota; Viridiplantae; Streptophyta; Magnoliopsida; Arecales; Arecaceae.